GAUGAACGCUAGCGGGAGGCCUAACACAUGCAAGCCGAGCGGUAGAGUUUCUUCGGAAACUUGAGAGCGGCGCACGGGUGCGUAACACGUGUGCAACCUACCUUUAUCUGGGGGAUAGCCUUUCGAAAGGAAGAUUAAUACCCCAUAAUAUAAUGAUUGGCAUCAAUUAUUAUUGAAAACUCCGGUGGAUAGAGAUGGGCACGCGCAAGAUUAGAUAGUUGGUGAGGUAACGGCUCACCAAGUCAAUGAUCUUUAGGGGUCCUGAGAGGGAGAUCCCCCACACUGGUACUGAGACACGGACCAGACUCCUACGGGGGGCAGCAGUGAGGAAUAUUGGACAAUGGGUGAGAGCCUGAUCCAGCCAUCCCGCGUGAAGGAUGACGGUCCUAUGGAUUGUAAACUUCUUUUGUACAGGGAUAAACCUACCCUCGUGAGGGUAGCUGAAGGUACUGUACGAAUAAGCACCGGCUAACUCCGUG
Molecule: ribosomal RNA, 479 nt
Filed under: uncultured bacterium
Lineage: Bacteria
Description: partial 16S ribosomal RNA
Rfam family: Bacterial small subunit ribosomal RNA
Source: RNAcentral